Molecule: ribosomal RNA, 119 nt
Organism: Colobus angolensis palliatus
Lineage: Eukaryota; Metazoa; Chordata; Mammalia; Primates; Cercopithecidae
Source: Ensembl
GUCCAUUGCCAUACCACCCUGAACACGCUCGAUCUCAUCUGAUCUCACAAGCUAAGCAGGGUCAAGCCUGGUUAGUACUUGGUUGGGAGACCGCGUGGGACUACCAGGUGCUGUAGGGU